Molecule: ribosomal RNA, 403 nt
Filed under: bacterium
Lineage: Bacteria
Description: partial 16S ribosomal RNA
Rfam family: Bacterial small subunit ribosomal RNA
Source: RNAcentral
UGGGGAAUAUUGCACAAUGGAGGGAACUCUGAUGCACCGACGCCGCGUGAACGAAGAAGGCUUUCGAGUCGUAACGUUCUUUUAUAUGGGAAGAUAAUGACGGUACCAUAAGAAGAAGCCCCGGCUAACUACGUGCCAGCAGCCGCGGUAAUACGUAGGGGGCUAGCGUUGUCCGGAAUCACUGGGCGUAAAGGGUUCGCAGGCGGAAAUGCAAGUCAGGUGUAAAAGGCAGUAGCUUAACUACUGUAAGCAUUUGAAACUGCAUAUCUUGAGAAGAGUAGAGGUAAGUGGAAUUUUUAGUGUAGCGGUGAAAUGCGUAGAUAUUAAAAAGAAUACCGGUGGCGAAGGCGACUUACUGGGCUCAUUCUGACGCUGAGGAACGAAAGCGUGGGUAGCAAACAGG